GGGGGUGAACUGGUUUCGACGGGGGUUGCAAAGCAGCGCGGGGCAUGCCGAGGCGCUUGUCCUCGUUAAACUCGAGCAAUCGCAAAUCUAACUGCGAACGACGAAACGUACGCUCUGGCGGCUUAACCCCGCCGGACCUCGCACCGGGCGGCGCUCAGCCGUGGCGCUAAAGCAAGGCGGCUGGUUUGCCCGCAGCCCGUCCGUCGGCGGUGGGGGAACGAGAUCCAAAUGGCGCGACUAAGCAUGUAGUCCCGACUGUGGAGUGCUUCCGGACGCGAGUUCGAUUCUCGCCACCUCCACCA
Molecule: transfer-messenger RNA, 302 nt
Filed under: Betaproteobacteria bacterium
Lineage: Bacteria; Pseudomonadati; Pseudomonadota; Betaproteobacteria
Also listed under: 1 other name
Rfam family: transfer-messenger RNA
About the family: Bacterial tmRNA, also known as 10Sa RNA or SsrA, is named for its dual tRNA and mRNA-like properties. Its role is to liberate the mRNA from a stalled ribosome. To accomplish this part of the tmRNA is used as a reading frame that ends in a translation stop signal.
Source: RNAcentral